UGAACUCCUGUUCUACACUUCCCC
RNAcentral lists this non-coding RNA (24 nucleotides) under Cricetulus griseus (Chinese hamster). The record is from RNAcentral. Lineage: Eukaryota; Metazoa; Chordata; Mammalia; Rodentia; Cricetidae.